ACGGAGUACUUCGGUACUUAGUGGCGGACGGGUGAGUAACGCGUGAGAAUCUGCCUUCAGGUUCGGGACAACCACUGGAAACGGUGGCUAAUACCGAAUGUGCAGUAAUGUGAAAUAUUUAUAGCCUGGAGAUGAGCUCGCGUCUGAUUAGCUAGUAGGUGUGGUAAUAGCGCACCUAGGCGACGAUCAGUAGCUGGUCUGAGAGGAUGAUCAGCCACACUGGGACUGAGACACGGCCCAGACUCCUACGGGAGGCAGCAGUGGGGAAUUUUCCGCAAUGGGCGAAAGCCUGACGGAGCAAUACCGCGUGAGGGAGGAAGGCUCUUGGGUUGUAAACCUCUUUUCUCAGGGAAGAAAAAAAUGACGGUACCUGAGGAAUAAGCAUCGGCUAACUCCGUGCCAGCAGCCGCGGUAAUACGGAGGAUGCAAGCGUUAUCCGGAAUGAUUGGGCGUAAAGCGUCCGCAGGUGGCUAUGUAAGUCUGCUGUUAAAGAGUCUGGCUCAACCAGAUAAAGGCAGUGGAAACUACAUGGCUAGAGUGCGUUCGGGGCAGAGGGAAUUCCUGGUGUAGCGGUGAAAUGCGUAGAGAUCAGGAAGAACACCGGUGGCGAAAGCGCUCUGCUAGGCCGCAACUGACACUGAGGGACGAAAGCUAGGGGAGCGAAUGGGAUUAGAUAC
Molecule: ribosomal RNA, 677 nt
Filed under: uncultured cyanobacterium
Lineage: Bacteria; Bacillati; Cyanobacteriota
Description: bacterial SSU rRNA
Rfam family: Bacterial small subunit ribosomal RNA
Source: RNAcentral